UACGGAGGGUGCAAGCGUUGUCCGGAUUUAUUGGGUUUAAAGGGUGCGUAGGCGGCUAAUUAAGUCAGUGGUGAAAGCCUGUAGCUCAACUAUAGAACUGCCAUUGAUACUGAUUAGCUUGAGUGUGGUUGAGGUAAGCGGAAUGGAUGGUGUAGCGGUGAAAUGCAUAGAUAUCAUCCAGAACACCGAUAGCGAAGGCAGCUUACUGGGCCGAAACUGACGCUGAGGCACGAAAGCAUGGGGAUCGAACAGG
RNAcentral lists this ribosomal RNA (253 nucleotides) under uncultured bacterium. Its description in RNAcentral is "partial 16S ribosomal RNA". It matches the Rfam family "Bacterial small subunit ribosomal RNA", at positions 524 to 776 of the family's 1533-position model. The record is from RNAcentral.